Molecule: ribosomal RNA, 1506 nt
Filed under: uncultured spirochete
Lineage: Bacteria; Pseudomonadati; Spirochaetota; Spirochaetia; Spirochaetales
Description: 16S ribosomal RNA
Rfam family: Bacterial small subunit ribosomal RNA
Source: RNAcentral
UUAGAGUUUGAUCCUGGCUCAGAACGAACGCUGGCGAUGUGUUUUAAGCAUGCAAGUCGAACGGUUCGCGGGCUUGCUCGCGAAUAGUGGCGGACGGGUGAGUAACGCGUAAAUAAUCUGCCUUAAAGAUGGGGAUAGCCUUUGGAAACAGAGGGUAAUACCGAAUAAUGUUUAAGAUUGGAGGAUUUUAAAAGAAAGGGGCAACAGCCUCGCUUUAAGAUGAGUUUGCGUCCUAUUAGCUAGUUGGGUUGGUAAGAGCGGCCCAAGGCGACGAUAGGUAGCCGGCCUGAGAGGGUGAACGGUCACACUGGAACUGAGAACGGUCCAGACUCCUACGGGAGGCAGCAGCUAAGAAUAUUCCGCAAUGAGCGAAAGCUUGACGGAGCGACAUCGCGUGAACGAGGAAGGCCUUCGGGUUGUAAAGUUCUUUUAUUCGUGAAGAAUAAGGUUAAGAGUGGAAAGCUUGACUGAUGACAUUAGCGAAGGAAAAAGCUCCGACUAAUUACGUGCCAGCAGUCGCGGUAAUACGUAAGGGGCGAGCGUUGUUCGGAAUAAUUGGGCGUAAAGGGCGCGUAGGCGGUUAUUUAAGUUUAUUGUUAAAACGCAGGGCUUAACUUUGCGAGGGCGGUAGAUACUGAAUAACUAGAGACCACGAGAGGAAAAUAGAAUUUCUAGUGUAGGGGUAAAAUCCGUUGAUAUUAGAAGGAAUACCAGAGGCGAAGGCGAUUUUCUGGCGUGGAACUGACGCUGAGGCGCGAAAGCUUAGGGAGCAAAUAGGACUAGAUACCCUAGUAGUCUAAGCUGUAAACGAUGUACACUUGAUGUCAAGACGGAGAAGUUUUGGUAUCGGAGCAAACGCGUUAAGUGUACCGCCUGGGGAGUACGCUCGCAAGAGUGAAACUCAAAGGAAUUGACGGGGGCCCGCACAAGCGGUGGAGCAUGUGGUUUAAUUCGACGAUACGCGAGGAACCUUACCAGGGUUUGACAUACACAGUGAUAAGCCAGAGAUGACUUAGCCCCGAAAGGGGACUGUGAACAGGUGCUGCAUGGCUGUCGUCAGCUCGUGCUGUGAGGUGUUGGGUUAAGUCCCGCAACGAGCGCAACCCUUGUCGUAUGUUGCUAACAGGUAAGGCUGAGGACUCUUACGAGACAGCUGAUGAUAAAUCAGAGGAAGGUGGGGAUGACGUCAAGUCAGCAUGGCCCUUACAUCCUGGGCUACACACGUGCUACAAUGGUUGAGACAAAGGGAAGCGAAGUUGAGAAAUGGAGCGGAUCUCAGAAAAACAAUCGUAGUUCGGAUUGAAGUCUGAAACUCGACUUCAUGAAGGCGGAAUCGCUAGUAAUCGCGCAUCAGCAUGGCGCGGUGAAUACGUUCCCGGGCCUUGUACACACCGCCCGUCACACCAAUCGAGUUGGGGAUGCUUAAAGUUAUUAGUUUAACCGCAAGGAGGACGGUAACAAGAGCGUAAUCAGCGAGAGGGGUGAAGUCGUAACAAGGUAACCGUA